AAUAAGAUGCCNGAAAAAAGGAUUAUUUUGAUAGAAUAAAUUAUAUGUUAAAUUUAAAAACAUUCUUNNU
RNAcentral lists this transfer RNA (70 nucleotides) under Trogium pulsatorium. RNAcentral's name for it is "tRNA-Ile". Lineage: Eukaryota; Metazoa; Arthropoda; Insecta; Psocodea; Trogiidae. The record is from RNAcentral.